CCUACGGGAGGCAGCAGUUGGGAAUUUUGCACAAUGGACGAAAGUCUGAUGCAGCAACGCCGCGUGGAGGAUGAAGGUUUUCGGACUGUAAACUCCUUUUGCUAGGGAGCAAUUUUUGAGAGUACCUAGCGAAUAAGCACCGGCUAACUCCGUGCCAGCAGCCGCGGUAAUACGGAGGGUGCAAACGUUGUCCGGAUUUACUGGGCGUAAAGCGCAUGUAGGUGGCUUAGUAAGUGAACGAUUAAAGACCGACGCCUAACGUCGGGAGGGUUGUUCAUACUGCUAAGCUUGAGAACAGCAGGGGUACGCGGAACUUUGAGUGUAGGAGUGAAAUCCGUAGAUAUUCAAAGGAACACCAAUGGCGAAGGCAGCGUACUGGGCUUUUUCUGACACUGAGAUGCGAAAGCGUGGGGAGCAAACGGGAUUAGAUACCCCGGUAGUCCACGCCGUAAACGCUGCUCACUAGGUCUUGGAGGGUAUCGACCCCCUCUUGGCCGUAGCUAACGCGUUAAGUAGAGCCGCCUGGGGAGUACGAACGCAAGUUUAAAACUUAAAAGGAAAGUUAGACGGCGUGAGACGNGCGAACGGACGACACGAGGGAGGUUAGG
RNAcentral lists this ribosomal RNA (608 nucleotides) under uncultured bacterium. Its description in RNAcentral is "bacterial SSU rRNA". It matches the Rfam family "Bacterial small subunit ribosomal RNA", at positions 338 to 1254 of the family's 1533-position model. The record is from RNAcentral.